This 817-nucleotide small RNA is filed under the name Rattus norvegicus (Norway rat). RNAcentral describes it as "uncharacterized LOC100910198". The record is from RNAcentral. Lineage: Eukaryota; Metazoa; Chordata; Mammalia; Rodentia; Muridae.
GCUCCUUCUUCAGAUGCCAUGGUUCACCCUUGUGGGUCCGGUUACCCAGCUCCUCACCCACUUGCUCGGGACCUAUAUUUAAACACGGCCAGCAUGGAAUGAGUACAUGUCUCCCUAGUUCCCCAACCCAGAAGGUUUCUCCGAGAGCUAGGGUGUCGUCGGUGAGACGUUAUCUAAUUUGCCUCCUGUCUGAAUUGCAGAAAACAUCUUCAAUACUCGAUUUCUCACGGGAUAAUUGGGUCACAUCCCGAGAGCUCAGCUGGACUGCACUAACCUCUGCUGCCUUGGAAUGCUGUGCUCCGCUACUGGUUUUCUCAAAGACUCUGGAAAAGACAGCACGGUGCUCUCCUAUAGUGUGCAUACUCUAAGUGGCAAGCUUCUGAGUUUCAAGCUUCCUGCUUCUUCAGCUCUUAACAAACCUGCUUGGAAGCUAUCGAGAAAGAUUAUGGGACAUGCGAGUGAAUUUGCAAGUGCUUACUGGUGCCGCCCAGGUCAUACUGAAGAGGAACAGUCCAACAGACACAGCCUGCAUCGUCACACGGCUCUCUGAAAGAUAGCAAGAACCUGUCUGAGCAGUGCCAGCUAUGCAUUGCAGACUCGAAGGCAUGUACAUGCAGACAACCCUCCCGCAUAAGUUCAUUUCCCUUUGAUAUAUAGAAUUACAUCCCUCAUAUGUACAUCCUAUCGAAUUAGCAUUUGCAUAAAUGUAUGUGCUUUUCACAAUUAGUUCAUAGUCAGGGUUAAUCUAUUAAUCUCUAUUUCAUUGCUGAUUACUCUCGUGCAAAAAUAAAAAUAUUGACUAUAAUUAAUCCAAUAA